GCAUUCGUGGUCGAUUGGUUAAGAUUUCCGCUUCCCAAGCGGGGGGACCGGGUUCGAUUCCCGGCGAUUGCA
Geopyxis carbonaria is the source of this 72-nucleotide non-coding RNA. NCBI's taxonomy places the organism in Eukaryota, Fungi, Ascomycota, Pezizomycetes, Pezizales, Tarzettaceae. The record is from the annotation of a GenBank genome assembly.